This 253-nucleotide ribosomal RNA is filed under the name uncultured bacterium. Its description in RNAcentral is "partial 16S ribosomal RNA". It matches the Rfam family "Bacterial small subunit ribosomal RNA", at positions 524 to 776 of the family's 1533-position model. The record is from RNAcentral.
UACGGGGGGGGCAAGCGUUGUUCGGAAUUACUGGGUGUAAAGGGCUCGUAGGCGGCCAACUAAGUCAGACGUGAAAUCCCCAGGCUCAACCUGGGAACUGCGUCUGAUACUGGAUGGCUUGAAUCCGGGAGAGGGAUGCAGAAUUCCAGGUGUAGCGGUGAAAUGCGUAGAUAUCUGGAGGAACACCGGUGGCGAAGGCGGCGUCCUGGACCAACACUGACACUGAGGAGCGAAAGCCAGGGGAGCAAACGGG